RNAcentral lists this microRNA precursor (103 nucleotides) under Corchorus capsularis. RNAcentral's name for it is "pre miRNA mir-399". It matches the Rfam family "mir-399 microRNA precursor family". From Rfam's summary of the family: mir-399 was identified in both Arabidopsis thaliana and Oryza sativa computationally and was later experimentally verified. mir-399 is thought to target mRNAs coding for a phosphatase transporter. The mature sequence is excised from the 3' arm of the hairpin. The record is from Rfam by way of RNAcentral. Lineage: Eukaryota; Viridiplantae; Streptophyta; Magnoliopsida; Malvales; Malvaceae.
UGAGGAAUAACAGUGCAAUCCUUCUUUGGCACCAUACAAGACAUAGCAAUAGCAUACACAUGUCUUGUGUUGUGCCAAAGGAGAAUUGCCCUGCCAUUCACUC